Molecule: ribosomal RNA, 714 nt
Filed under: Sphaerocera curvipes
Lineage: Eukaryota; Metazoa; Arthropoda; Insecta; Diptera; Sphaeroceridae
Description: partial 12S ribosomal RNA
Source: RNAcentral
AUGUAAAUUUUUGUGUGAGUAAUUAAUUUUUUAAAUAAAAAUUAAUUUAUAUUAAAUCGCAGAUAAUUAGUAUUAUUAAUUAAAGAAAUUUAGAAAUAGUAAUAUUAAAUUAGAAUUGGUUAAAUUUGUGCCAGCAUCCGCGGUUAUACAAAUGAUUCAAGUAAAUUUUUUCAGUGAAAGUUAAUAUUUAUAAAAAAAAUAAAACUAAAUUAUUAAGUGAAAUUUAAAUUAAAAAUUUUAUUGUGAAUAAUUUGAAGCUUGUAAAUUUUAAUAAUAAACUAGGAUUAGAUACCCUAUUAUUUAAAAUGUAAAUUUAAGCACUAAAGUAGUAUUAGUUAUGUUCUUGAAACUUAAAAAAUUUGGCGGUAUUUUAGUCUAUUCAGAGGAACCUGUUCUGUAAUCGAUAAUCCACGAUGGACCUUACUUAAAUUUGUUAAUCAGUUUAUAUACCGUCGUUAUUAGAAUAUUUUAUAAGAAUAAUAAUUUUCAUAAAAUUUUAUUAAAUUAUAUAUCAGAUCAAGGUGUAGCUUAUAUUUAAGUAGAAAUGGGUUACAAUAAAUUUAUUUAAACGAAUAUAAAUAUGAAAAAUUUAUUGAAGGUGGAUUUGAUAGUAAAAUUAUAAAGAUAAAUAAUUUGAUUUUAGCUCUAAAAUAUGUACACAUCGCCCGUCGCUCUUAUUAAUAAGAUAAGAUAAGUCGUAACAUAGUAGAUGUA